AAAACAACGAAAGUAGUUGUUUGUGGAAUGAAAGGAGUAGGCAAGACAGCGUUAUUGGAACAGCUCAUAUAUGGAAACGUCAAUGUCAAGACAGUAAGAGUUUAGGUUAUGUUUGUAUACAACGUACUGCAAAAUAACACAUUCCCGAAAUUCAUCCAACAAUCGAGGAUAUUUAUGUUGCGAACAUAGAAACAGACCGUGGUACUAAAGAAAAAGUACGGUUUUAUGACACGGCAGGACUAGAAUCUCUUCAGAGUAAUGCAAAUAACCAGCAACUACCCCGGCAUUAUCUUGGUUUUGCUGAUGGUUAUGUAUUAGUUUAUGACA
RNAcentral lists this unclassified non-coding RNA (327 nucleotides) under Megachile rotundata (alfalfa leafcutting bee). RNAcentral describes it as "nF-kappa-B inhibitor-interacting Ras-like protein, transcript variant X1". Lineage: Eukaryota; Metazoa; Arthropoda; Insecta; Hymenoptera; Megachilidae. The record is from RNAcentral.